AUACUUGCCUGAAGAGAUGAGGAACCCAGAAACUUUCAAAUGGAUGCUUAAAAAUCCUCAGUACCGUCAACAGUUACAGGACAUGUUG
Camelina sativa (false flax) is the source of this 88-nucleotide non-coding RNA. The record is from RefSeq and is a predicted model, not a curated record. Lineage: Eukaryota; Viridiplantae; Streptophyta; Magnoliopsida; Brassicales; Brassicaceae.